CCUUUACUAUAGCUUGACACUGAACAUUGAGCCUUGAUGUGUAGGAUAGGUGGGAGGCUUUGAAGCGUGGACGCCAGUCUGCGUGGAGCCGACCUUGAAAUACCACCCUUUAAUGUUUGAUGUUCUAACGUGGACCCGUUACCCGGGUUGCGGACAGUGUCUGGUGGGUAGUUUGACUGGGGCGGUCUCCUCCUAAAGAGUAACGGAGGAGCACGAAGGUUGGCUAAUCCUGGUCGGACAUCAGGAGGUUAGUGCAAUGGCAUAAGCCAGCUUGACUGCGAGCGUGACGGCGCGAGCAGGUGCGAAAGCAGGUCAUAGUGAUCCGGUGGUUCUGAAUGGAAGGGCCAUCGCUCAACGGAUAAAAGGUACUCCGGGGAUAACAGGCUGAUACCGCCCAAGAGUUCAUAUCGACGGCGGUGUUUGGCACCUCGAUGUCGGCUCAUCACAUCCUGGGGCUGAAGUAGGUCCCAAGGGUAUGGCUGUUCGCCAUUUAAAGUGGUACGCGAGCUGGGUUUAGAACGUCGUGAGACAGUUCGGUCCCUAUCUGCCGUGGGCGCUGGAGAACUGAGGGGGGCUGCUCCUAGUACGAGAGGACCGGAGUGGACGCAUCACUGGUGUUCGGGUUGUCAUGCCAAUGGCACUGCCCGGUAGCUAAAUGCGGAAGAGAUAAGUGCUGAAAGCAUCUAAGCACGAAACUUGCCCCGAGAUGAGUUCUCCCUGAGACUUUAGGUCUCCUGAAGGAACGUUGAAGACGACGACGUUGAUAGGCCGGGUGUGUAAGCGCAGCGAUGCGUUGAGCUAACCGGUACUAAUGAACCGUGAGGCUUAACCUUACAACGCCGAAGCUGUU
This 850-nucleotide ribosomal RNA is filed under the name Salmonella enterica subsp. enterica serovar Chailey. RNAcentral describes it as "partial 23S ribosomal RNA". It matches the Rfam family "Bacterial large subunit ribosomal RNA", at positions 2098 to 2925 of the family's 2925-position model. Lineage: Bacteria; Pseudomonadati; Pseudomonadota; Gammaproteobacteria; Enterobacterales; Enterobacteriaceae. The record is from RNAcentral.